RNAcentral lists this small RNA (2277 nucleotides) under Pan troglodytes (chimpanzee). RNAcentral describes it as "retained intron". The record is from RNAcentral. Lineage: Eukaryota; Metazoa; Chordata; Mammalia; Primates; Hominidae.
GAGCCGGGGUGCUGCACGGCGGCCGUGAUGGCUGGUGACGGCGGGGCCGGGCAGGGGACCAGGGCCGCGGCCCGGGAGCGGGCCAGCUGCCGGGAGCCCUGAAUCACCGCCUGGCCCGACUCCACCAUGAACGUCGCGCUGCAGGAGCUGGGAGCUGGCAGCAACGUGGGAUUCCAGAAGGGGACAAGACAGCUGUUAGGCUCACGCACGCAGCUGGAGCUGGUCUUAGCAGGUGUCUCUCUACUGCUGGCUGCACUGCUUCUGGGCUGCCUUGUGGCCCUAGGGGUCCAGUACCACAGAGACCCAUCCCACAGCACCUGCCUUACAGAGGCCUGCAUUCGAGUGGCUGGAAAAAUCCUGGAGUCCCUGGACCGAGGGGUGAGCCCCUGUGAGGACUUUUACCAGUUCUCCUGUGGGGGCUGGAUUCGGAGGAACCCCCUGCCCGAUGGGCGUUCUCGCUGGAACACCUUCAACAGCCUCUGGGACCAAAACCAGGCCAUACUGAAGCACCUGCUUGAAAACACCACCUUCAACUCCAGCAGUGAAGCUGAGCGGAAGACACAGCGCUUCUACCUAUCUUGCCUACAGGUGGAGCGCAUUGAGGAGCUGGGAGCCCAGCCACUGAGAGACCUCAUUGACAAGAUUGGUGGUUGGAACAUUACGGGGCCCUGGGACCAGGACAACUUUAUGGAGGUGUUGAAGGCAGUAGCAGGGACCUACAGGGCCACCCCAUUCUUCACCGUCUACAUCAGUGCCGACUCUAAGAGUUCCAACAGCAAUGUUAUCCAGGUGGACCAGUCUGGGCUCUUUCUGCCCUCUCGGGAUUACUACUUAAACAGAACUGCCAAUGAGAAAGUGCUCACUGCCUAUCUGGAUUACAUGGAGGAACUGGGGCUGCUGCUGGGUGGGCGGCCCACCUCCACGAGGGAGCAGAUGCAGCAGGUGCUGGAGUUGGAGAUACAGCUGGCCAACAUCACAGUGCCCCAGGACCAGCGGCGCGACGAGGAGAAGAUCUACCACAAGAUGAGCAUUUCGGAGCUGCAGGCUCUGGCGCCCUCCAUGGACUGGCUUGAGUUCCUGUCUUUCUUGCUGUCACCAUUGGAGUUGAGUGACUCUGAGCCUGUGGUGGUGUAUGGGAUGGAUUAUUUGCAGCAGGUGUCAGAGCUCAUCAACCGCACGGAACCAAGCAUCCUGAACAAUUACCUGAUCUGGAACCUGGUGCAAAAGACAACCUCAAGCCUGGACCGACGCUUUGAGUCUGCACAAGAGAAGCUGCUGGAGACCCUCUAUGGCACUAAGAAGUCCUGUGUGCCGAGGUGGCAGACCUGCAUCUCCAACACGGAUGACGCCCUUGGCUUCGCUUUGGGGUCCCUCUUCGUGAAGGCCACGUUUGACCGGCAAAGCAAAGAAAUUGCAGAGGGGAUGAUCAGCGAAAUCCGGACCGCAUUUGAGGAGGCCCUGGGACAGCUGGUUUGGAUGGAUGAGAAGACCCGCCAGGCAGCCAAGGAGAAAGCAGAUGCCAUCUAUGAUAUGAUUGGUUUCCCAGACUUUAUCCUGGAGCCCAAAGAGCUGGAUGAUGUUUAUGACGGGUACGAAAUUUCUGAAGAUUCUUUCUUCCAAAACAUGUUGAAUUUGUACAACUUCUCUGCCAAGGUUAUGGCUGACCAGCUCCGCAAGCCUCCCAGCCGAGACCAGUGGAGCAUGACCCCCCAGACAGUGAAUGCCUACUACCUUCCAACUAAGAAUGAGAUCGUCUUCCCCGCUGGCAUCCUGCAGGCCCCCUUCUAUGCCCGCAACCACCCCAAGGCCCUGAACUUUGGUGGCAUCGGUGUGGUCAUGGGCCAUGAGUUGACGCAUGCCUUUGAUGACCAAGGGCGCGAGUAUGACAAAGAAGGGAACCUGCGGCCCUGGUGGCAGAAUGAGUCCCUGGCAGCCUUCCGGAACCACACGGCCUGCAUGGAGGAACAGUACAAUCAAUACCAGGUCAAUGGGGAGAGGCUCAACGGCCGCCAGACGCUGGGGGAGAACAUUGCUGACAACGGGGGGCUGAAGGCUGCCUACAAUGUGAGUGGCCUGACCAGCCCUCCAGCGGCUGAGGCCUGCUGGCCUGGGGUGAAAGGUGCUGGGUGGAUGGGGGCAGGCCUGGAUGGGCUUGCUGCCCACUGUUCUGUCCCCAGGCUUACAAAGCAUGGCUGAGAAAGCAUGGGGAGGAGCAGCAACUGCCAGCCGUGGGGCUCACCAACCACCAGCUCUUCUUCGUGGGAUUUGCCCAGGUGU